This 98-nucleotide ribosomal RNA is filed under the name Listeria monocytogenes. RNAcentral describes it as "partial 16S ribosomal RNA". It matches the Rfam family "Bacterial small subunit ribosomal RNA", at positions 1437 to 1533 of the family's 1533-position model. The record is from RNAcentral. Lineage: Bacteria; Bacillati; Bacillota; Bacilli; Caryophanales; Listeriaceae.
AACCUUUAUGGAGCCAGCCGCCGAAGGUGGGACAGAUAAUUGGGGUGAAGUCGUAACAAGGUAGCCGUAUCGGAAGGUGCGGCUGGAUCACCUCCUUU